This is an RNA transcript of Medicago truncatula (barrel medic), 3271 nucleotides long. It is a transcript of the gene named disease resistance protein RPV1, with no coding region annotated. The transcript has 3 exons. The record is from RefSeq and is a predicted model, not a curated record. Lineage: Eukaryota; Viridiplantae; Streptophyta; Magnoliopsida; Fabales; Fabaceae.
CUGCAGCUCGUUUGUCUCAUCCCAUCUUAGAUAUUUUUCUUCUUUAUUUGAAAAAAGGGAACAUUUAGAUCAGAAAUCAAGGAGGAGAAAAAAAGUUAAUUAGUUAAUUCUUAAUUCCUAAUUAAUUCUCUAGUACCGUUCAUGGCACUACCUUCUCUGUCUUCCUUCACUUGUGACUGGACUUAUGAUGUUUUCCUCAAUUUUAGAGGCAAAGAUACCCGAAACAACUUCACUGGUAAUCUCUACAACUCUCUACAAAAUCAAAGAGGUAUACAAACUUUUAUGGAUGAUGAAGAAAUUCAAAAAGGAGAAGAAAUCACACCUACUCUUCUUCAAGCCAUUGAAGAAUCUAGGAUUUUCAUUGCUAUUUUCUCACCUAACUAUGCAUCUUCAACGUUUUGUUUGACUGAACUUGUCACCAUCCUUGAGUGCUCCAUGUCACAAGGAAGGUUAUUUUCGCCGGUGUUUUAUGAUGUGGAUCCAUCUCAAAUUCGAUACCUGACUGGAACUUAUGCCGAGGCUUUCAAAAAACACGAGGAGAGGUUUGGAGAUGACAAGCAUAAGAUGCAGAAAUGGAGAGAUGCUUUACAUCAAGCUGCUAAUAUGUCUGGAUGGCAUUUCAAACCAGGGUAUGAAUUAGAAUAUAAAUUUAUUGAAAAGAUAGUUAAAGCAGUCUCUGUAAAGAUCAACCGCAUUCCUUUACAUGUUGCAAAGAACCCUGUUGGCUUGGAGUCUCAAAUAUUAGAAGUGAUAUCUCUCCUUGGACUUGACUCGAAUGAGAAAGUCAACAUGGUAGGCAUUUAUGGAAUCGGCGGAAUAGGCAAAUCAACAACUGCUCGUGCUGUGCAUAACUUGAUUGCUGAUCAGUUUGAAGGUGUGUGUUUUCUCGAUGACUUAAGAAAGAGGGAAAUUAAUCAUGAUCUUGCACGGCUCCAAGAAGCACUACUUUCUGAUAUAUUGGGGGAGAAGGAUAUUAAAGUAGGAGAUGUUUACAGAGGAAUGUCGAUAAUUAAAAGGAGGCUUCAAAGAAAGAAAGUCCUUUUGAUUCUUGAUAAUGUCGACAAAGGUAAGCAGUUACAGGCAUUUGUAGGAGGAGAUGAUUGGUAUGGCUCCGGAAGCAAGAUCAUAGUCACUACAAGAGACAAGCAUUUGUUGGCCAGUAAUGGGAUUGUGAAAGUAUAUGAGGUUAAACAGCUAAAAAAUGAAAAGGCCCUGGAGUUGUUUAGUUGGCAUGCAUUUAAAAAUAAAAAAAAUUAUCCAGGUCAUCUGGAUAUCGCAAAACGUGCAGUAUCUUAUUGUCAGGGUCUUCCCUUGGCUUUGGAGGUAAUAGGAUCUCAAUUGUUUGGAAAAAGUUUAGCUGUAUGGAAAUCCUCAUUAGACAAAUAUGAAAGAGUCCUUCUAAAGAUAUCCAUGAAAUUCUGAAAGUUAGCUAUGAUGAUUUGGAAGAAGAUGAGAAGGGCAUUUUUCUAGACAUAGCUUGUUUCUUCAAUUCUUUUGAAAUAGGCUAUGUUAAAGAAAUACUAUACUUACAUGGUUUUCAUGCAGAAGAUGGCAUACAAGAGCUAACUGACAAAUCUCUCAUGAAAAUUGAUACCAAUGGUUGUGUGAGAAUGCAUGACUUGAUUCAAGACAUGGGGAGAGAAAUCGUAAGGCAGGAAUCAACGUUGGAACCUGAGAGACGCAGUAGAUUAUGGUUUAGUGAUGACAUGCAUUGUUCAUGUUUUGAAAGAAAAUAAGGGAACUGAUACAGUUGAAGUCAUAAUCGCCGACUUGCGCAAAGAAAGUGAAAUGGUGUGGAGCCUUUGGGCAGAUGAAGAACUUGAAAAUUCUUAUAAUAAGAAAUGCCCGAUUUUCCAACAGUCCUCAAAUUCUUCCAAAUUGCUUGAAAGUUCUUGAUUGGAGUGGAUAUCCAUCCUCCUCCUUACCAUCUGAGUUUAAUCCCAGGAAUCUUGCUAUACUUAACCUGCAUGAAAGUCGCCUUAAAUGGUUCCAAUCACUCAAGGCAUGUAUUCUUUUAAAAAGAAAAUAAAUAAUCAUGUCUUGAACAUUUUCUGUUGGCCUUAAACUAAUAUAUUUCCAGUUGUAUCCUAAACAUUCGAGGCAUCUACUUUUUUUAGGUGUUUGAGAGGUUGAGCCUUCUGGAUUUUGAAGGCUGCAAGUUCCUAAUUGAAGUACCUAGCUUAUCUAGAGUACCAAAUUUGGGGGCAUUGUGUCUUGAUUACUGCACUAAUUUAAUUAGAGUCCAUGAUUCAGUUGGGUUUCUUGACAGGCUUGUAUUAUUAAGUGCUCAAGGAUGCACCUGACUAGAAAUUUGGUUCCCUACAUGAACUUGCCAUCUCUAGAGACUUUAGAUCUUAGAGGUUGCUCGCAUCUUGAGAGCUUCCCAGAAGUACUAGGAAUGAUGGAGAAUGUAAUAUAGGAGAAUUAAUAUGAAAUAAUAAAGAAUUAAUGAGGAGCAAAAGUCAUACCACAACAAAUCAAAGCAUGGAACUGUUACAGCUCAAAAGUCAAUGAGACAACAAAACAAAUCAUGUAAUUAUAGUAAUUGUAUUAUAUGUAUUUAUGUAGUAUUGUAUAUUUCCCUGAUUGUAGCAUAGUGCAUGAAUGCACUCGGUUCACUCUCUAUCUAUUAAUAGAGAUUAUUCUCACAAUUGUAAUUCAUUCAAAAAUAAUAUAAACCACUGUUCUUAUAUGUAAAAGAUGUUUAUUUAGAUGAGAUGGACCUAUACCAGUUGCCUUUUACAAUUGAAAUCUUGUUGGGCUGCAACGUUUGUUCUUGAGGGAAUGCAAAAGGAUGAUUCAGCUACCAAGCUACAUAUUGCCAAAAUUUGAGAUAAUAACAUCUUAUGGUUGCAGGGGAUUUCGAUCAUCUGAAAAUGAAGAAAAAUUGUAUCCAAAAGUGUUUGAAAAUGCAAUGCGGGUUUAUAAUGAAUGUGGGAAGUCCUUCCUUAAUGUGUAUUCUCGUAAUAAAACCUCCAAUGAUGUCAUAGAAGUAUGUAGUCCUCGGCGUGAAUCUUAUCUCGAUCUUUCACCAGAGAGAAUAUGUUGGGGUGAGCUUAGACAUAAUAAAUCAUCAGUGUGUUUUUGGUUCCGAAAAAAAUUCCCCGAGAUAGCUCUAUGGUGUGAUGUACGACCUCAAAAGCAUUUGGACAACAUGGUGUUGGAUUUUAAGUUCAAUGUACUCGUUAAUGGUACUAAGCACCUUACUUCUUCAUGUGUCUACAUAUUUUAUGCAGAAAGAGAGACGGGCCAAAUUCUUUGUUGUGAUCUA